This 584-nucleotide ribosomal RNA is filed under the name Lyngbya aestuarii SJILZ05. RNAcentral describes it as "bacterial SSU rRNA". It matches the Rfam family "Bacterial small subunit ribosomal RNA", at positions 196 to 799 of the family's 1533-position model. Lineage: Bacteria; Bacillati; Cyanobacteriota; Cyanophyceae; Oscillatoriales; Microcoleaceae. The record is from RNAcentral.
CACGGUGAAAGAUUUCAUCAUCUCUAGAUGAGCUCGCGUCUGAUUAGCUUUCCGUCUACGCCUACGGUUCUCUAGGUACGAUCUUCCACUGGUCUGAGAGGAUGAUCCUCCUCACUGGGACUGAAAACCGGCCCAGACUCCUACGGAAGGUUUACGCGGGGAAUUUUCCGAUAUGGGUGGAAGCCUGACGGAUACCGACCGCGUGGGGGAGGAAAGCCUUUGGGUUGUAAACCCCUUUUCUCAGGGAAGAAUAAUGUGACGGUACCUGGGGAAUCAGCCUCGGCUAACUCCGUGCCAGCAGCCGCGUUAAUACGGAGGAGGCAAGCCUUUUCCGGAAUGUUUGGGCGUAAAGCCUCCGUAGGUGGCUAUUCAAGUGUGCUGUUACAGCCGGGAGUUAACCUACUGACAGGCAGUGUACUCUGAAUAGCUUGAGUGCGGUAGGGCCAGAGGGAAUUCCUGGUGUAACGGUGAAUUGUCUAUAGAUCAUGAAUAUCACCGGUGGCGAAUGCUCUCUGCUGGGCCGAAACUGACUCUUGGGGACCAAAGCUAGGGGAGCGAAUGGGAUUAGAUACUCCAGUAGUCAG